UCUACCAUGCAGUCGAGGGGCAGCACAUGAAGUAGCAAUACGGAUGGUGGCGACCGGCGCACGGGUGAGUAACGCGUAUGCAACCUGCCUACAACAAGGGAAUAACCCGUUGAAAGACGGACUAAUACCCUAUAAUACAGGGGUCCCGCAUGGGAAUAUUUGUUAAAGAUUUAUCGGUUGUAGAUGGGCAUGCGUUCCAUUAGCUAGUUGGUGAGGUAAGGGCUCACCAAGGCAACGAUAGAUAGGGGAACUGAGAGGUUUAUCCCCCACACUGGUACUGAGACACGGACCAGACUCCUACGGGAGGCAGCAGUGAGGAAUAUUGGUCAAUGGGCGCAAGCCUGAACCAGCCACGUCGCGUGAGGGAAGACGGCCCUACGGGUUGUAAACUUCUUUUGUAAGGGAAUAAAGUGUAGUACGUGUACUAUUUUGCAUGUACCUUACGAAUAAGGAUCGGCUAACUCCGUGCCAGCAGCCGCGGUAAUACGGAGGAUCCGAGCGUUAUCCGGAUUUAUUGGGUUUAAAGGGUGCGCACGCGGGAGAUUAAGUCGGCGGUGAAAUUUUGCAGCUCAACUGUAAAAGUGCCUUCGAAACUGGUUUUCUUGAGUGUGGAUGAAGUAGGCGGAAUUUGUGUGUAGCGGUGAAAUGCAUAGAUAUCACGAGGAACUCCGAUUGCGCAGCAGCUUACUAAGCCAUAACUGACGCUCAGGCACGAAGGCGUGGGGAUCAAACAGGAUUAGAUACCCUGGUAGUCCACG
Molecule: ribosomal RNA, 758 nt
Filed under: uncultured Bacteroidota bacterium
Lineage: Bacteria; Pseudomonadati; Bacteroidota
Description: bacterial SSU rRNA
Rfam family: Bacterial small subunit ribosomal RNA
Source: RNAcentral